RNAcentral lists this ribosomal RNA (492 nucleotides) under uncultured bacterium. Its description in RNAcentral is "partial 16S ribosomal RNA". It matches the Rfam family "Bacterial small subunit ribosomal RNA", at positions 29 to 507 of the family's 1533-position model. The record is from RNAcentral.
AGUGAACGCUGGCGGUAGGCCUAACACAUGCAAGUCGAACGGCAGCACAGUAAGAGCUUGCUCUUACGGGUGGCGAGUGGCGGACGGGUGAGGAAUACAUCGGAAUCUACUUUUUCGUGGGGGAUAACGUAGGGAAACUUACCCCAAAACCCCUUACGAUCAACGGGGGAAAGCAGGGGACCUUGGGACCUUGGGGGAUUGAAUGACCGGAUGUCGGAUUAGCUAGUUGGCGGGGUAAAGGCCCACCAAGGCGACGAUCCGUAGCUGGUCUGAGAGGAUGAUCAGCCACACUGGAACUGAGACACGGUCCAGACUCCUACGGGAGGCAGCAGUGGGGAAUAUUGGACAAUGGGCGCAAGCCUGAUCCAGCCAUGCCGCGUGGGUGAAGAAGGCCUUCGGGUUGUAAAGCCCUUUUGUUGGGGAAGAAAAGCAGCAGGUUAAUACCCCGCUGUUCUGACGGUACCCAAAGAAUAAGCACCGGCUAACUUCGUG